Molecule: ribosomal RNA, 495 nt
Filed under: uncultured bacterium
Lineage: Bacteria
Description: partial 16S ribosomal RNA
Rfam family: Bacterial small subunit ribosomal RNA
Source: RNAcentral
GACGAACGCUGGCGGCGUGCCUAAUACAUGCAAGUAGAACGCUGAAGGAGGAGCUUGCUUCUCUGGAUGAGUUGCGCACGGGUGAGUAACGCGUAGGUAACCUGCCUGGUAGCGGGGGAUAACUAUUGGAAACGAUAGCUAAUACCGCAUAAGAGUAGAUGUUGCAUGGCAUUUGUUUAAAAUGUGCAUAUGCGUCACUACUAGGUGGACUUGCGUUGUAUUAGGUAGGUGGUGAGGUAACGGCUCACCAAGGCGACGAUACUUAGACGACCUGGGAAGGGUGACGAGCAACACGGGACCGGAGCCCCGCCCAGAACUCUUCCGGGAGGCGCCAGAGGGGAUCUUCGGCAAUGGACGGAAAGCUGGACGAAGAACGCCGGGGUGGGUGAAGAGGGUUUCGGGUCGUAAAGGUCCGUUGAGAGGGAAGAACGGGUGUUAAGGUAGAACGUUCACACUGUGACGGUAUCUUACGAGAAAGGGACGGCUAACUUCGUG